Schistocerca americana (American grasshopper) is the source of this 2230-nucleotide long non-coding RNA. RefSeq lists it as uncharacterized. The transcript has 3 exons. Lineage: Eukaryota; Metazoa; Arthropoda; Insecta; Orthoptera; Acrididae. The record is from RefSeq and is a predicted model, not a curated record.
GGAGUGUUCUUUACAGGUAUGACAAUAAAUUGUGACGUUAUCGACAUGACCGAUUGUUGAGAUAUUUUCCAUCUUGAUUGUAUGUCGUCACUAAUAACUUGAGCAUGUAAUUGACUCCACAUGAUAUUGGAUAUAUAACAUAAAGAUGAGCAAUUUAAGUGGACAUACUUCAGUAUCCUAUGAAAGUGAUUUUAUACAGUUGACAGAACUUGCGGGAAUAAAAAUGCAACCAGAAAUAAUCAGGAUACUCCUAGAAUUGCUCAGCAUGAACAUUCAUCCCACUUCGAUUUACACUAUUCUACGUCAUCUUUGUGCCCGACAUGGACAGAAGGCACGUGCAGCUGCAGCCUGCCAGAAGCUCGCAAGCAAAAGUAAAAAGUAGAAAGUAAUGUUAUCUGUUGUGUUUCUAGUUCAGCCCAAUUGUCAUUUAAUAAAAGCCAACCUGAAUAUGAUGUAAAUCAAUCAGUGAUUUAUUUACUUCUUGUGUGACGGUUGUAAAGUGAUGUAUAAAUCAAAUAUAUGUAUAGGUCUCAUCACUCUGAAUUUGUUAAUAGGCACCUCAACGACAGGUAGGAGUUGUAGGAAGCAAACUGGCAACAAAGCACUGUACUGUAUUUAUAUUUAAGGCUUUUUGUGUAUCAUAUCUAUAUCUUUGUUAAUAAAUAAUUGUAAAAAACACACAUUUGGAUUUCAACACCAAUUAUGUCUUUCACUCUAUGCGUUUCAGGUAAAUGAUUUUAUUUCCUUUUUAAACAAAAGAAGAAGGAAAAAGAAGCAACUUUCACCUCAAAUGUCAUUCUUGUUACACACUUGGUUAUAAUUAGUUUUUUUAAUUUGUUUAGUGUACUUUCCAGUCACAUUAAUGUGACCAUCUGUAAAAACCUGAAUAACCACCUUUGACUGUGGACUGCUGUGAAACAUGCAGGAAGAGAGUCAGUGAGGUUCUAAAAGUUGCCGAGGGGUGUGUAGAGCCGUGCCAUUUCCAGUGCUGUGACCAGCUGUGCUAGGUUUCUUGGUUGAGAAUCAGUGGUGUGAACAGCCUGAUCAAGGUAGUCCCACAAAUUCAUGAUUUUGUUCAAAUCUGGGGAGUUUGGUGGCCAGGGGAGUACAGCAGACCCAUCUUGGUGCUCUUCAAACCACACACAUACGGCUGGGAGCUGUGUGACACAUUGUGUUGUCCUACUGGUAGAUGCCAUUGUUCCAAGGAAAAAAACUGCAAGUAAGGAUGGACAUGGUCAAGGAUAUAUGCAUAAAUAUGGUGAUCCAUUGUGCAUUCCAGAAUGAUGUGAUCAGCCAGUGUUUGCUUUCAGAUGUUUCACACCAUACAUGCCAGUGUUCAUCUGUCUGCCGGAGCAUAAAAUAUGGUUCAUCUGAAUGUGAUGCAGCUGGGAAGGCCACCUGUUGCCACUCAGUGGACAUCCAGUCGUGGUACUGGUGUGCAAAUUCCAGCCUUUGUCACUGUUAAACCUUCCUCGCAUUCAUUUUUCUCAGAAAAUAGAGGAGCUGUGUUUAUGAUUAUGGAUUACGAUUAGAAUAGCGUGGAUGCAUAAGCCAGGCAAGUUCUGCGGACAUCCAUAUGCAACAUUAUUCCCUGAGCAGUCGUUGAGGAGACACUGUUCAUAUGGGCAGUCAGUUGCUCAACAGUUGCACAUCUAUUCUCCUGUACACACAUUUGCAAGUACCAUCCACCCCUGUUAUUUAUGACCUAUAAUGCACAGCUGUUGCCUCGGUGCCGGUUUUGGAUAGCAGCAUUUUGCCAUGUGCUGUAUACUUUAACCACAGCAGCAAGCAAAUAAAUUACAAACUUAGCCGUUUCGGAAAUGCCUCUACCCUUGGCCCAAAAGCCGGUGGUCGUGCUCUUGCAGAAGUCAGAUAAAUCGCUCCAUCUCCACGUUAUGAUAAUGAAAUCAUUGUUUUCGGUGUCUCCCCCCGAAAAGCUUUGUGUACCCUCCACUGCUAGUGCUUGCACUUGUCAUUUGUGAGUGGUUAUUUGCACAUCGAUGUCGAACGUAAGUGAUGGUCACAUUAAUGUGACGGACCAUGUAUAUCAACCAUGUCUCUGUUACGACAUUUGGCACUGUGUGCACAGCUGGAGCAAAAGACAGAGAAAGGAUCUUUAGUGCAGCAAGGAACAUUAAUUAGCAUUUUUGCAUUGUAAUAUUUAUGUAUUAUUAUUGAAUGUUUGGUAGUUAUCAAUUGAGUUUCAAUAAAGACUUAUGGAUUACUGGCA